CUACCUGCUCACGAAACUUUAGUGUGGCUGCGGCCCAAUGGGCCCUCCAAAACAAAACUUUGUCAUUCGCAGAUGCAAAACCCGCACCCACAAUUUAACGGUUUUGGCAUAGCAAAUGUAUCUAGAUCCUAGAUGCUUAAUGGCAGAGCCACCGGGUCCAACCAGACCAAACGUGGCUGCACGCAACGACGAGAACCGGUUGAAGUACGCCUGUGACGCCGGAAUCUUAACGGACGAUUUCAACGCCAAUGACCUCGACGGCGAAGAUUCUAAUAGCACACCAAGUUUUGACUCCGAGAGCUGCAAGUCGCCGCGUCUGGAGGAUCUGGCGGCCAGUUUACGUGUCUUCUCUGAGUCGCUAGCGAGAAUGGAUCUGGCUGAGACAGAGAUGACCAGGGCGAGGGAGACUUGGCGGUGCGAGGCAGAGAAGAGGCGGAUGGAGUUGGAGGCCGAAUUGACUCGCCUGAUGUUGGGGACUCAGUUGCAGAUCGCAUUGAUUGUCGCAGGGAAGGGGCCGAGUAAGAAAAGGAAGCGAGCUGAAGAAAUGGAAGAUGAAUCAGGCAUCUCUCCAAGGCAAAGAGCUUUAUUGCUAAGUUUGCUACAAUGCAACUUCAGCUUUUGAAGUAUACAAUGGCACAUCCUUUGUUUCUACUCGUCUUCUUUCUGGUCAAUCUGAAACAAUAUUUUGUUAGGUGCUUUGCAUACUGGGUAACAAUUUCCUGACGGUUCUGCUCAUUAGGAAGACCAAAAGUAAUCAUUGAAUCAAAUCGGCCUAUAAUACCGGUUAAACGUGAGUUAGAAAACACUCCCUCAAGAAAAGAAUUGUACCCCUAUACCGAAUCAAAGCAGGAUCAAGGUCUUGUUUUCUAUUUGAAGCAGCAAUGACACCCAUGUUCUUGUUCUGUUCAAAUCAAUCAGUCUGCACAAAUGAUCAAAGCA
Hevea brasiliensis (rubber tree) is the source of this 939-nucleotide RNA transcript. RefSeq lists it as uncharacterized. The transcript has 3 exons. The record is from RefSeq and is a predicted model, not a curated record. Lineage: Eukaryota; Viridiplantae; Streptophyta; Magnoliopsida; Malpighiales; Euphorbiaceae.